RNAcentral lists this ribosomal RNA (497 nucleotides) under uncultured bacterium. RNAcentral describes it as "partial 16S ribosomal RNA". It matches the Rfam family "Bacterial small subunit ribosomal RNA", at positions 28 to 507 of the family's 1533-position model. The record is from RNAcentral.
GAUGAACGCUGGCGGCGUGCCUAAUACAAGCAAGUCGAGCGAACGGACGAGAAGCUUGCUUCUCUGAUGUUAGCGGCGGACGGGUGAGUAACACGUGGAUAACCUACCUAUAAGACUGGGAUAACUUCGGGAAACCGGAGCUAAUACCGGAUAAUAUUUUGAACCGCAUGGUUCAAAAGUGAAAGACGGUCUUGCUGUCACUUAUAGAUGGAUCCGCGCUGCAUUAGCUAGUUGGUAAGGUAACGGCUUACCAAGGCAACGAUGCAUAGCCGACCUGAGAGGGUGAUCGGCCACACUGGAACUGAGACACGGUCCAGACUCCUACGGGAGGCAGCAGUAGGGAAUCUUCCGCAAUGGGCGAAAGCCUGACGGAGCAACGCCGCGUGAGUGAUGAAGGUCUUCGGAUCGUAAAACUCUGUUAUUAGGGAAGAACAUAUGUGUAAGUAACUGUGCACAUCUUGACGGUACCUAAUCAGAAAGCCACGGCUAACUACGUG